GAUGAACGCUGGCGGCGUGCCUAAUACAUGCAAGUCGAGCGAACGGACGAGAAGCUUGCUUUUCUGAUGUUAGCGGCGGACGGGUGAGUAACACGUGGAUAACCUACCUAUAAGACUGGGAUAACUUCGGGAAACCGGAGCUAAUACCGGAUAAUAUUUUGAACCGCAUGGUUCAAAAGUGAAAGACGGUCUUGCUGUCACUUAUAGAUGGAUCCGCGCUGCAUUAGCUAGUUGGUAAGGUAACGGCUUACCAAGGCAACGAUGCAUAGCCGACCUGAGAGGGUGAUCGGCCACACUGGAACUGAGACACGGUCCAGACUCCUACGGGAGGCAGCAGUAGGGAAUCUUCCGCAAUGGGCGAAAGCCUGACGGAGCAACGCCGCGUGAGUGAUGAAGGUCUUCGGAUCGUAAAACUCUGUUAUUAGGGAAGAACAUAUGUGUAAGUAACUGUGCACAUCUUGACGGUACCUAAUCAGAAAGCCACGGCUAACUACGUGCCAGCAGCCGCGGUAAUACGUAGGUGGCAAGCGUUAUCCGGAAUUAUUGGGCGUAAAGCGCGCGUAGGCGGUUUUUUAAGUCUGAUGUGAAAGCCCACGGCUCAACCGUGGAGGGUCAUUGGAAACUGGAAAACUUGAGUGCAGAAGAGGAAAGUGGAAUUCCAUGUGUAGCGGUGAAAUGCGCAGAGAUAUGGAGGAACACCAGUGGCGAAGGCGACUUUCUGGUCUGCAACUGACGCUGAUGUGCGAAAGCGUGGGGAUCAAACAGGAUUAGAUACCCUGGUAGUCCACGCCGUAAACGAUGAGUGCUAAGUGUUAGGGGGUUUCCGCCCCUUAGUGCUGCAGCUAACGCAUUAAGCACUCCGCCUGGGGAGUACGACCGCAAGGUUGAAACUCAAAGGAAUUGACGGGGACCCGCACAAGCGGUGGAGCAUGUGGUUUAAUUCGAAGCAACGCGAAGAACCUUACCAAAUCUUGACAUCCUUUGACAACUCUAGAGAUAGAGCCUUCCCCUUCGGGGGACAAAGUGACAGGUGGUGCAUGGUUGUCGUCAGCUCGUGUCGUGAGAUGUUGGGUUAAGUCCCGCAACGAGCGCAACCCUUAAGCUUAGUUGCCAUCAUUAAGUUGGGCACUCUAAGUUGACUGCCGGUGACAAACCGGAGGAAGGUGGGGAUGACGUCAAAUCAUCAUGCCCCUUAUGAUUUGGGCUACACACGUGCUACAAUGGACAAUACAAAGGGCAGCGAAACCGCGAGGUCAAGCAAAUCCCAUAAAGUUGUUCUCAGUUCGGAUUGUAGUCUGCAACUCGACUACAUGAAGCUGGAAUCGCUAGUAAUCGUAGAUCAGCAUGCUACGGUGAAUACGUUCCCGGGUCU
RNAcentral lists this ribosomal RNA (1372 nucleotides) under uncultured bacterium. RNAcentral describes it as "bacterial SSU rRNA". It matches the Rfam family "Bacterial small subunit ribosomal RNA", at positions 28 to 1381 of the family's 1533-position model. The record is from RNAcentral.